Molecule: ribosomal RNA, 433 nt
Filed under: uncultured bacterium
Lineage: Bacteria
Description: partial 16S ribosomal RNA
Rfam family: Bacterial small subunit ribosomal RNA
Source: RNAcentral
AACGAACGCUGGCGGCAUGCCUAACACAUGCAAGUCGAACGAGACCUUCGGGUCUAGUGGCGCACGGGUGCGUAACGCGUGGGAACCUGCCCUUAGGUUCGGAAUAACUCCCCGAAAGGGGUGCUAAUACCGGAUAAUGUCUUCGGACCAAAGAUUUAUCGCCUUUGGAUGGGCCCGCGUUGGAUUAGCUAGUUGGUAGGGUAAAAGCCUACCAAGGCGACGAUCCAUAGCUGGUCUGAGAGGAGGAUCAGCCACACUGGGACUGAGACACGGCCCAGACUCCUACGGGAGGCAGCAGUGGGGAAUAUUGGACAAUGGGCGAAAGCCUGAGCCAGCAAUGCCGCGUGAGUGAUGAAGGACUUAGGGUUGUAAAGCUCUUUUACCCGGGAUGAUAAUGACAGUACCGGGAGAAUAAGCUCCGGCUAACUCCGUG